RNAcentral lists this ribosomal RNA (536 nucleotides) under Botryosphaeria dothidea. Its description in RNAcentral is "eukaryotic LSU rRNA". The stretch from base 164 to 317 matches the Rfam family "5.8S ribosomal RNA". Lineage: Eukaryota; Fungi; Ascomycota; Dothideomycetes; Botryosphaeriales; Botryosphaeriaceae. The record is from RNAcentral.
CUCGGCCGAUCCUCCCACCCUUUGUGUACCUACCUCUGUUGCUUUGGCGGGCCGCGGUCCUCCGCGGCCGCCCCCCUCCCCGGGGGGGUGGCCAGCGCCCGCCAGAGGACCAUCAAACUCCAGUCAGUAAACGAUGCAGUCUGAAAAACAUUUAAUAAACUAAAACUUUCAACAACGGAUCUCUUGGUUCUGGCAUCGAUGAAGAACGCAGCGAAAUGCGAUAAGUAAUGUGAAUUGCAGAAUUCAGUGAAUCAUCGAAUCUUUGAACGCACAUUGCGCCCUUUGGUAUUCCGAAGGGCAUGCCUGUUCGAGCGUCAUUACAACCCUCAAGCUCUGCUUGGUAUUGGGCACCGUCCUUUGCGGGCGCGCCUCAAAGACCUCGGCGGUGGCGUCUUGCCUCAAGCGUAGUAGAACAUACAUCUCGCUUCGGAGCGCAGGGCGUCGCCCGCCGGACGAACCUUCUGAACUUUUCUCAAGGUUGACCUCGGAUCAGGUAGGGAUACCCGCUGAACUUAAGCAUAUCAAUAAGCGGAGGA